RNAcentral lists this ribosomal RNA (440 nucleotides) under uncultured bacterium. Its description in RNAcentral is "partial 16S ribosomal RNA". It matches the Rfam family "Bacterial small subunit ribosomal RNA", at positions 338 to 795 of the family's 1533-position model. The record is from RNAcentral.
CCUACGGGAGGCAGCAGUGGGGAAUAUUGCACAAUGGGCGAAACCCUGAUGCAGCGACGCCGCGUGAGUGAAGAAGUAUUUCGGUAUGUAAAGCUCUAUCAGCAGGGAAGAAAAUGCCGGUACCUGAUUAAGAAGCACCGGCUAACUACGUGCCAGCAGCCGCGGUAAUAUGUAGGGGGCAAGCGUUAUCCGGAUUUCCUGGGUGUAAAGGGAGCGUAGACGGCAGCACAAGGCUGGAGUGAAAUGCCGGGGCUUAACCCCGGAACUGCUUUGGAAACUGUGGAGCUAGAGUGCAGGAGAGGUAAGUGGAAUUCGUAGGGUAGCGGUGAAAGGCGUAGAUAGUAGGAGGAACACCAGUGGCGAAGGCGGCUUACUGGACUGUAACUGACGUUGAGGCUCGAAAGCGUGGGGAGCAAACAGGAUUAGAUACCCUAGUAGUC